AUGGGUGGAAGUCUGCAGCAUGGAAUUUGCUUAAAAGGAGCUGACUUUUGGGAUAUGCACUGUGGGAAUCCAGAACUCAGUGCAAGGCAGGAGGGAUUAAAGUGUUUGCCAGUCUCUGCACUGUGCCUAUGACUUCAGCUGAACUGCAGUUUCAACUGUACAGUACAGUACAUUUCAUACAGUACAACUGUAUGCUCAUGAAAAUCACAUACACAUCAAACUUCUGUACUAUCCAGAAAUGUUCCCUGAGAUUAAGCCAAAUCCACACCCACAUGACAUUUAAUUACAACAAAUUAUUCAUAGAUGGAUUCAUAGAUGUUAAAGUCAGAAAGAAAUCCUGCAAGCCUCAACCCUGACAUCCUGGAUAACACGGGAUAGUCAGGCUGUGAUGAUCAGACUUAGAUUCACAUGACCAUUAAAACAAAAGGAGCAUGGAGUUCAGUGAGAUGAUGUAUUUUUAGUAUAUACGUGAUUGCUUUUUUGUCAUAUUGUCAAAUUGUCAUGGAAAAUACUGUCACUGAUGAAAAGCUCUUGAUUUUCAAGGACUGUUUACUGAAGUUGGUCCAGGGACAGCUGUAGCACAGUCAGCAUUUAAUCACAGCAGUGGAUUGCUGGGGUGAAAAAAUGUCCAUGACCUCGCGAUUUACCUUUCCCGUGCUCUAGGAGCUGUUAAGCAUCCCUGCUUAAGCGUUCUGGAGGUGACUGCCAGAACUGAUGCAGCAGCAGCUGUGGCUCAGGGAACCACUGCCACCUCUCAGCAAUGACAGCCACUCCACAGCUUCCCCAGUUCAUGGUAAGAGUCUCAAACCUGUGGCCUUCUGCCUCCUUCUCUCUCACCAUUCCUCUUCCACAAUGCAAGCAUCUUGAUCCAAGUCAGGAACAUGAUCCUUGCCUACAAUGCAGAGAAAGCAAUAAGAGCCUCUGCUUCUAAGAAGCGUUCAGACAGCUCUGAGAAAGGAAUAUUACACUUAGAUCCUUGAAAUUCAUAAAACUUGUCUUUAGAUUGCUGACAGGAGCCCCUAGACUUUGUAUUAAUCAUUAUUUAUCAAUAAUCCCAAACCAAAUCUAUAGGAACAAAAAUUCCUUUUUAAUCCCCACGAAGUAAUGUCAGGCAGAUUUCCAGUAUACUUGGUGUUUUGCUUCCUAUUGCCCUUAGGUGAAGCACAUAAGGACAAGAAUCACUCAUGUCACCAACCAAAGGACUCAGAGGAGCUCUUUAGCUCAUUUUUACUGCAUGCAGAGAUUUAUAACACUCCAUGUAUCAGCCAUUAGAAUUUAUAGUGUGCUGUAAGGCAAAUUGAGACAUUUAUUUAAAUACAUCAAGAGCCUACCACGUAUGUCUGUGAGAUAUUUCCCUCACGGACAGGUACCUAUCUGUUGAAAAACAUGUAAAGCCCUGGAUCUGUGAGGAUUUUUGGUUGGUUUCACUCCCUGUUGGGGUUUUCUCUGAAGUGGUCUCUUGGUCUUGGUACAUGAUGUUUCUGGUGUAUAGCUCUUUUAAGUGAAUGUACAUUCUGAUGCAUAUAUUGUAAAAGUCAACUUUUCACCGGAGGCAUGUGUUUCUAGGCACAAUCUGGGGUUUGGAAAUAGCUAGGGCUACAUGCUGGAAGUGAGGCCAGCUUUCUGUGGCAUGCUGCCACAUCUUUUUUGAUUAGGAAGUUAACAGCUGGAUAACUUCUGAAAACAGGAAGGUAUGACAGCAAAACUUUAUUUCAAUUAAAUAGCUCCCAUAUAAACACAGGAAUUCCACUGUCAUCCCCACUUCUUAUCCUCAGCAGGUUUUGCAAGGACAGACUGGCUGGGUGACAGGUCCAGUGGCUCUGUGCUAGCCACAGGUCGCUGUGAGCAGGUCUCUUACCUAGUUCAGCUGGCAGCUGAAAGAAAUAAUCUGAAAAGUCACAUCACAUUCAGUUUUAGCAGAAUUUACUAUUCCUCUGUGGAACUAGUGAUUCGAAAAAAGUUUUCAUGGAGACCUAAGGAAAAGCUUCUAACACAGGAAUUGUCUUGUACACAAAAUGGCUGCCAGCUCCCCUCACUGCCAGUGGUUUGGAAUCAACAAAAUGGCCACCCUGUCCCCUCACAGUGUGCAAGAACAGGCAGAAGAGAGGAUUAGAAAAAUAAAGGAAAAGGAAGCAGGGAAAGAGACAGAAACAAGUAUUCUGCUGAAGGAAUUCAUCUGGCUGAGGGCGCUAAAUGAGCUGCUGCAAGGAAGCUGAGUAAAGACAGAGAUGGAAAGUGGUUUGAAUGCCUCUGAAUGAAGAUAUGCCGAAGGGAACCUGUCCAUAGCAGGCAUUAUCUUUAUAUAUGCUUAUAUAUAUAUGGCCGCUUCCCAUAUAUAUAUAAUU
Molecule: long non-coding RNA, 2345 nt
Organism: Pezoporus flaviventris
Lineage: Eukaryota; Metazoa; Chordata; Aves; Psittaciformes; Psittacidae
Exons: 3
Source: RefSeq, a predicted model, not a curated record